GGGGGCGACUGGCUUCGACGUGGGUCACGAAACCCAAGGUGCAUGCCGAGGAGCAGACUACCUCGUUAAUCCAUCUGCAAACUUGAUAGUUGCCAACGAAGACAACUACGCUCUAGCUGCUUAACCCAGCUAGCCUCUGACUGAGUCCGUGCUUGUGCGCUCAACUCGGGGGACGAUUCUCGCAAGCUCGCGAUGAAGCCGGCCCGAGGCAGAUUCGUUAAAACCUUCCGGGAUCGCCGUCUGUCUUUCCUGCCGCUCGGGUAGCAGGCGGUUAAAUUAAAGAGCCGGCUAAGCAUGUAGUGCCGAAGGCGUAGUACUUGCGGACGCGGGUUCGAUUCCCGCCGCCUCCACCA
Molecule: transfer-messenger RNA, 353 nt
Filed under: Gammaproteobacteria bacterium
Lineage: Bacteria; Pseudomonadati; Pseudomonadota; Gammaproteobacteria
Also listed under: 1 other name
Rfam family: transfer-messenger RNA
About the family: Bacterial tmRNA, also known as 10Sa RNA or SsrA, is named for its dual tRNA and mRNA-like properties. Its role is to liberate the mRNA from a stalled ribosome. To accomplish this part of the tmRNA is used as a reading frame that ends in a translation stop signal.
Source: RNAcentral